This is a long non-coding RNA of Bubalus bubalis (water buffalo), 404 nucleotides long. RefSeq lists it as uncharacterized. NCBI's taxonomy places the organism in Eukaryota, Metazoa, Chordata, Mammalia, Artiodactyla, Bovidae. The record is from RefSeq and is a predicted model, not a curated record. The transcript has 2 exons.
GUUGAGCAUACCCACGAAGAGUUUUCUAUCUUCUGGAACAAAAUUAGGAGAUGCUUACCCGGGCCAAGGGCCCGGAGGCGCGGGAUGGGCCCGCGGGAGGAGGAAGGGUUACGGAGGGGAAGGGGAUGGUGGCUCUGUGGAAACCAGUCACCAUGCUGGAAAGAGCCUCUAACUGGACCACACCAGGAGUCCACACGGAAAGGAUCCCAGGCCUCCAGCUGACAGCCAGCAUCAGCCACCAGACAUGGAGUGAAUGAGUCCUGAGAUGAUUCCAGGCCCCAGCUCAUGAGUCUUCCAGCCGAGGCCCAGACAGCCAGGAGGAGAGACAGGCCUUCCAAGCUGUGCCCAGCCUGAAUUCCUGACCCACAGAAUCCAUGAGUGUAGUAAAUGGUUGUUUUACACUA